This is a long non-coding RNA of Rosa chinensis, 474 nucleotides long. RefSeq lists it as uncharacterized. The transcript has 2 exons. Lineage: Eukaryota; Viridiplantae; Streptophyta; Magnoliopsida; Rosales; Rosaceae. The record is from RefSeq and is a predicted model, not a curated record.
AGCUCAAGAUUUUGAGCAGAAUGAUGGUGAUUCAGAAGAAAUUGAUAAUCCGAGCAGUCCCUGAGAAGGAGGUUCCGACGACACUGAGGCAUUGUAUCGAGGUGGAGAAGAAACAGCUUACUGGUAUUGAGUCUGAGCCUUCGUCGCCGGCUCCAGUUUUUGUUUGCAAGGAGAAACAGGAGGAAUCAAGUGUAAGAUCUGCAAUUUUCUGAGCAGGAGUAAUGCACAAACUAGUAUACUUUCUUGAGUCUUCAAAUCGUAGGUCUGCUUUUCUGAAUCUGAGUGGAGUAAUACCUUAUCCACUUUUCGUAUGAACUAGGUUUCACAAUGUCCAGUUGGAGAAAUACCUAUCCACUUUUGUAUAUACAAAGUGGGCUUCUCAUUGUCCUGAAUAUUCUUGCUUCUACUUCUUGUAUAAAAUAGGGUGUACUUCUCAAUAUCUUUAGAAUGAAGAAACAGUGUGCAGUUACGUCU